GGAUUAGGCAUGCAAGUCGAACGGUAGAGUUCCUUCGGGGACUUGAGAGUGGCGAACGGGUGAGUAACGCGUAGGUUAUCUACCCUCAAAUUGGGGACAACCCAGGGAAACUUGGGCUAAUACCGAAUGAGAGCAUCUUCGGAUGUUUAAAAGAUGGCAGUAAUGCUGUUGUUUGAGGAUGAGCCUGCGUCCCAUUAGUUAGUUGGUAAGGUAAUGGCUUACCAAGGCGAUGAUAGGUAGGCGGCCUUAACGGGUGGUCGCCCACACUGGGAUUGAGAUACGGCCCAGACUCCUACGGGAGGCAGCAGUCGAGAAUAGUCUACAAUGGUCGGAAGUCUGAUAGUGCGACGCCGCGUGAACGAAGAAGCCCUUCGGGGUGUAAAGUUCUUUUAUAUGUGAGCAAUGGGUUUUACGUGAACAGUGUGAGGUCAGGGAUAUUAGCAUAUGAAUAAGCAACGGCUAACUCCGUGCCAGCAGCCGCGGUAAUA
Molecule: ribosomal RNA, 488 nt
Filed under: uncultured bacterium
Lineage: Bacteria
Description: bacterial SSU rRNA
Rfam family: Bacterial small subunit ribosomal RNA
Source: RNAcentral